Molecule: ribosomal RNA, 493 nt
Filed under: uncultured bacterium
Lineage: Bacteria
Description: partial 16S ribosomal RNA
Rfam family: Bacterial small subunit ribosomal RNA
Source: RNAcentral
AUUGAACACUGGCGGCAUGCUUUACACAUGCAAGUCGAACGGUAACAGGUUAAGCUGACGAGUGGCGAACGGGUGAGUAAUGCAUCGGAACGUGCCCGUUCGUGGGGGAUAACGCAGCGAAAGCUGCGCUAAUACCGCAUACGAUCUGAGGAUGAAAGCGGGGGACCGUAAGGCCUCGCGCGAUCGGAGCGGCCGAUGUCAGAAUAGGUAGUUGGUGGGGUAAAGGCUCACCAAGCCAACGAUCUGUAGCUGGUCUGAGAGGACGACCAGCCACACUGGGACUGAGACACGGCCCAGACUCCUACGGGAGGCAGCAGUGGGGAAUUUUGGACAAUGGGCGAAAGCCUGAUCCAGCAAUGCCGCGUGCAGGAAGAAGGCCUUCGGGUUGUAAACUGCUUUUGUACGGAGCGAAAAGGCUCUCUCUAAUACAGGGGGCUCAUGACGGUACCGUAAGAAUAAGCACCGGCUAACUACGUGCCAGCCGCCGCGGUAA